CAUGAAGGCUUUCUUCCCAAGUUUGUAAGACGUCUAAAGGAGAUCGAGUUUUUAAGAGAAGAUUUGGUCUUCACUGUUCAUAGCACAGAGGGUACAGAUUCAGGAGUUGACACAUAUUUUGGUCUCUGCACUUAUCCUGGUCGAGAACUGCGACAUCGUAUUGACUUGAAGGUGUAUCCAAGGGAUAUAUAUGCAUUUGGACUGAUAGCAUGGACGG
This 217-nucleotide unclassified non-coding RNA is filed under the name Hevea brasiliensis (rubber tree). The record is from RNAcentral. Lineage: Eukaryota; Viridiplantae; Streptophyta; Magnoliopsida; Malpighiales; Euphorbiaceae.